CUGUGGCACAUCUGGGGUCCACUAGAACGUGAAAACCAUGUGUCCUGGGCUGAGCUCAGCCUCUGCCAUCUCCAUGAUCCAGGUUCCACUCUAUCUAUGGCUUCUUCUCAGUAAUAUCUACCUCCUCUUACUUUACACCUUAGCACAGGGGUUCUCAACCUGUGGGUCAUGACCUCUUUGGUGGGGGGGUCUCAUGACCCUUUCACAGGGGUCUCAUAUCAGCAGCCCUCCAUAUCAGAUAUUGACAUUUUGAUUCAUAACACUAGCAAAAUUACAGUUAUGAAGUAGCAACUCAAAUAAUUUUACGGUUGGAAGUCACCAUACCGCGAGGAACUGUAUUAAAAGUCCCUGAAGCAGCAGGAUGAAGGUUGAGAACCACACUGCUUUAGCAGGAUUACUAAAGCAGUCUCCUAGUGAGGGCCUGUGAUUUCCUAACCCACCCACCUUGCCGCCUGCUCACUCAAACAAGCAUCCUUUGAGCUGACACCCAAGGGUGUCACAGUCAACCUCUUCUUGUAGUCUUUCUCCAACCAGUGACACCAGACUCUCAAGUCAGCUCACCUUCUUCUACCCCAAGCUUCUGUCUGGGACCUGUUCACUUUCACUGCCUACAUCUCUCACUCUUGUGUGCCCACCUCGGCAUCCUCCCUCCAUCUUUCUGCCCCACGAUGUCAUUCUAAAAGUUUUAGUCCCACUGACGCCUCCUGCAUCACGUGCUAUUCCUAGAAGCCAAUGCCCCACUAAUUGCCACCCGUCUUUUAAAUCAGUCCUGGACACACUACCUGUCUGCAGCAACAUACUUGCCAGAGCCAGGUACUGCAGUCCUAACACUUGGGAGGAGGGUCUGGAAGAUUAAGAGUUUGGGGCCAGUCUGAGCUACCCUGUGAGGUCUAGUCCUGCAUGGGCUGCAAGGUGAGAGCCAUCUCCAAAAAAAAAAGGUUGUUGGACUGAAUAAUUUGUGUUUUUACCAUCAAGGUUUUUGUUUUUGUUUUGUUUUUUCACAAUUGAAGUAUACAUUUGAAACGUGGAUUAAGUUCCAAAUUCAAUGUGCAAAGCAAGAUUCCCAUGCAAUCAACACUCCACAAAGUUUAUGACAGCUCAGCUGGGGUCUUUCCCAAAGGAUAGGCCUAACUGAUGCUUUCUGCAACUUCAGAACCGAUGCCUGUUUCUGAGCAGCAGCAGGAAAGAAAGGCAGCCCCCCACAUGGAGGGACCAUGUUUUAUUCAAAUGUGCUGCUAGAUUCUUAAUUUUUUAUUAUUGAUCUUUUUGCCAAGUAUGAGUGAUCAUGUUCACACAAGUUAAGUGCAGACAUUAAGUACUUUUUUUUUUUUGAAAAAAAAAAAAAUGAUUACCAGGAAAGACUUCUAAUGGACCUAGCUAGGUCCCUCUAACCUCCUGAUUUUCCACAUCCAGUUUCUUGUUCUAUCUAGGGAGCUCCUGGAGAUCUUUUGUUACCGUGCCAACAGAGGAGGGCCCUUUCAGGAGCACCGAUGUGUGGCGGCGAGCCAGCUGAGCCAGCCGGCUUAGAAAAAAAUUAACUGGAGCAUGGGGGUGUUGACUGGGUCUUUCUCUCAAAGGGCAAAGACCUUGCCUCAGGCCUGAGCCUUAGCCACAUCCUGGGACAUGCUUCCAUGACAAGGUUCCGAUCCUGUGACCAACUUGGGGUAGGAAUGGAAGUCAGGAAAGGAAUAAGCCCUGGAGUGUUGGAGCAAAACCAAGAUCUUAGGCCAGGGUUUCAGGGGUGGGGAAGGGGGAAGUGACAGAAAAGAAGGUGGGGUCAGUGAAAGCCAGGCCUAGAGGGCAGGCCCAGUCUUCACUCCUAGUAGUCUCGAGGAAGUUCUAGCUUUAGAAAGGAAUUUGGACUAUUUACAUUUUUGAGGAUAAAUCCUUCUUGCUAGUGAAUGGCCAUUACUAUUUGCCAAUCUGAUAUCUGAAAAACUGAAUCUUCUGGCUUUAGCACACGUUUUUCUUAUUGAGAUUUUAUUUCUAUGUCACUGAAUAUCCUUAAAGUCGAAGAGAAAUGAAAACUGAAGAGAUAUUUGCAUGGCAUAGCUGGUGAAUCUAAUUUUGUUCGCAGCUUGCCAGAAGUGGCUUAAAUUCUUUUUACCGUCCUUGCUGUGGAAAUCUGAAACAUGGAUUCAGGGUGUGUGUCUCAAAAACUGUGGCCGUCUGUAAAGGAUGUCUAUACCACACUUUUGACAUUUUGUUGUUCUGCAUAGAGGGUUUAUCGGGCAGCCCAAAACCAAUUGGGAGAGCGAGUGGAGCAGCGAGGUUGAAAGAUCCUCCAUCACCCUGAGCAAUAGAAACUGCAGGCUUUAGUUGAAAGACAGAGGUGCCAAAGUGAGGAAACAGACAGGAAGCCUCAGGGGUUAGUCGCUUUCCACAGGGCACAGUGGGAAGUGAACUUUCCCCUUAUCUCUUCUAAAUCUAGAUAGGCUCAACAACUGUUAGGGGCAGAUGAAUGGAAGGAUAAGAGAUGUUCACACCAAUUCCUGGAGUAGGGAGGGAGAGGAACCAGGAGAAGGGGAAGAAAGGGGGAGGGGAGGAGGGCGAGGGGAAGCACAGAGCAGCGGACCUUAGAAGAAUCGCUCAAGGUCACACCGCGGGAUGGAGCUGAAAGCCGAAUUCAAAUCCAAGCCCGGGACUGCAGGACUGAAAGUUCUAGAUAGAGCCACACAAACGUGCUCUCUUCUCUCUUCUUGACUCAGCAGCUCUCGCUUGGCCACGGGGCGGUGGGAAUCACACUUCCUGGGCCUUUCUAGCCGGGAGUUUGGGGUCCCUUGUUUUUCCUGGACUUAUUUGCCGCACUCCGGGCUUUGGCUUCCUCCUCCCUGCUUCCCAGAGCAGAAUCCGGAGCCACCUAUUCUCUCCAAGUUUGUCUCGCAGCCAGGCUGGGAACCGUGCGCGAGCGACUCCCGGACCCGGCAAUCAGUCUUCCCUGCCCCAGCGUCGGAGACGAACAAUCACCACCAGCGGCUGCUGAGUGCUAGACGCUUUACUCCCACAGCUCCAAAAGCCACAGACGAGCAGACCCCCAGAAAUUAGUCCUCGCCACUCAGAUGAGGCAGCUCUGCGAAAUUGGAUGAUGUGCUUGGACUCACAAGGCUAAUAACGCUAGGAGAGCAGCGGUUUCAAACCUACAGUACCAGAGGCUGACCUCAACGCAACGCCCGAGGCUGGGCGCAAACCAACCAGUUCGGAAUGCCAUAAUUCACAGAGACAUUCCCACGGACCGGAACCAGAGAGUCCCCCAAGAGCACCGAGUGUGACCGGUACUGGCGGACGAUCACCCCUUAGCAGGAGCUGGAGAACACUUACCAUAAAAGAGAGGGCGAGCGCCUGCCUGGGAGGAAUCCCCAGCGCUGGCAGGUCCGGGACUCCCGGGAGAGAGGUCUGCUGCCACUGCCGCCCACGCAGGGGCGCCCGAGCGACCCCGCGGAUGCUGGCUGCUGCUUCUCAACCAGCGGCGCGUCCUCUCGACUUGUAUCCGGCGGCAGCGCCCUCUCGCUCCGCAGGGUGCCCUGGAGUUAGGGACGUUCUUGGAGAAGUUGACGCUCGGGAGAGGCCGCCGAGGUCCGGUCCCGAGUAGUGAAGUGCCCCACUGCGCUGAUCUCAGCGAGAUGCGGAAGCCCUUGCCCUGAUGGCCCUAAAGCUUGGCGCCUGACCUGGAGAGCGACGAGUCCCGCGCUCAGGGCACACGGGCCGCACCUCGGCCGCCCGUCCCCGGAGCACCGGGUUUCUUCCCUAGAGCACUGAGCACACGCCGCGAGGGCUGCAGUGGUGGCCAGGGCCCGGGCAGCUGUGCGCUCAUUGCCUUCCCCAGGGGCUGAGCGCCUUUGUGCGCCGGGCGCGCCGACCGCCAGGGCCAGCUCUGGAUGCUGCAGCCGCCGCCUCCCCCUCCUCCUCCACGGCCGCUCGCUCCCCGCCUUCCCGGCCGGCCCGGAGGCUGCAGCUGAAAGCCGAUCCGGCUGAGCUCAUCCCUGAAGGCCACUAAUCCAAUAGCCGCGGAAGGCGCGGCCGCCGGGAACGCCCCUUCCCCCACCAUCCCGCGCCCCGGCCGUCCCAGCUCGGGCCGCUGCCGGCUCUGCCACCUUCUGGAGGCCACCAGCUGGCGGGAAAGGGAAGUGGAACCCUCGCCCGCGCCCCUGGGCCGAAGUGGCGCGGACGCCAUUCACUCAUCUGCGGACUGGCUAGCCUAGACACUCGCUCACACACGCGCUCAUUCAUGCGCAUGGGUCCUCCCCCAUUCAUUCAAGCGUGCCUAGAGAGCCACGGUGGGUGUCCCUAGGGGCGGGGAUGAAGAGAGGAGACAUCACGGUCGCCAGAUAGCUUUGGAGCCUGUAUUGAAGGCCUGCGGGAAACAACGACUGGGAAAGAGAAUGCUUUAAUAUACCCCCUUGCCUUAGGCACACACAUGUCCACACUUUAUUUCUGAGGCCAGACUCCAACUCAUCUUUCAGAAUCCAAUUUCACGCAGCACCUGCUCCAUGGUGCUUUUCCCCUGACCACCUGAGGCCCGAGAGAAGGAUCAUCGAUCAGAGGGCUACCGAGAGCGCUGAAGGAUGGCGGCUCCCUCGGUAACCAGAGCGCAGAGAUAAGAGGGCGUGGCCAGAGCGAGGGAUGCUCUGUACCUCCAAGUUGGCUUCCUUCCAGGCCAGGGCAUCCUGCUUUCCAUGCCAGAGUUGACAUUAGGUCCAUUCCAUAGUCUUAACUGACCUCACCCCUCAGAAAGUGUCCUUUUUUUUCCCCCCAUGUACACAGAAGAUAAGCACCUGUAAUUCAGCCCUGUGAGGGAAAUGUGUUGACCAAGGCUCCAGGGUACCUCUCCCAGACUGGGGAGGGCAAUUUGAGAAUGUUUCCUUGUGGAAGUGUCUGCAUGAAUGAGCUGCUAGAUGCAGAGACAUCAUAGUCUCAUGGUAGGUACCUGUAACAGCCUGUGGUAUGACUGGAGCCAAAACAGGAGGUAAGAUGAAACGAGAGUAGGUACUUAGGGUCUUGGAGAGCAUCCAAAGGGCUUGGCUUUUCCCCAAGAUCAGUUUGGCAGGCCUCUUGACCUUCACAGAUUUGCUGUCCAGAAAGAUAAUCCAGUGGCAGGAUGGAUAGAUGGAUGAAUAGCACUGGCCAGCUUGGAAGCUGCUUCAGAGAUCCAGGCAGUCAAUGAUGCUUUGUCGAUUAGGACAGCUCAGUGGUGUGGCAGAGGGGUAUUCUGAGCAAGUAUUUGUGGCGCUCUUGGUUUUAUUUGGGCUGCUUCAUCUAUAUCUGCAUGUCUGUCUCUCCGUACCUGUGUGUCUCUGCUCUUGGGACUGCACAGAAGAGCUGCUGAAGGGAAUGUGACCCAUGCACACAUUUCCUUGUCCCCCCGAGUCCCCUCCCUCCCCAGGACAUUUCUGGAGUACGUGCUCUGACCACGGCUGUGGUGCUAACAGAGCUGGACAUCGUGAAAUGAGAACCGAGGAAAACUCAGCAAACAGGAACUUAAGCAAGACUUUUCAAGGACUGGAGAGAUGACUCAGACGGUUAAACCAGGCAGUGGGUGGUGCACGCCUUUAACCCCAGCAUUCACUAGGCAGAGGCAGUCAGAUCUUUUAGUUCAAGGCCAGCCUAGUCUACAGAAUGAGUUCCAGGACAGCUAUGGCUACCUAGAGAAACCCUGUGUCAAACAAACAAACAAACAAACAAACAAACAAACAAACAAAGUACUUGCUGCUCUUGCAGAGGACCAGGGUUCAGUUCCCAGCACUCACAUGGUGGGUCACAGCUGUCCAGAAUAUCAGUUCCAGGGCAUCAGAUGCCUUCCUCUGACUUCCAUCAGCACCAGGCAUGUAAAUAACACACAUACAUUCACACAGGCAAAGUACUCAUACACUUAAAAUAAACCCUGAAAAAAAAAUACCAUCCCCGGCUGAUGGUUUUUCUACCUGGACCCCAAUACAACUGCCAACACUCAUUUCUUCCUUCUUUCUGGAAGACUUCACAAUAGCUCUAGAACAAGGUGAGGAAGGGUCAAGGGUCACAUUUUGAGAAACUGCUCCCCCAAAUACAUACCUGUGUGCCAGAUAAGUUCUCUACACAAGCCUUUGUGACUUGCCUUGGGUAUCAAGAAAUGGGCACAAUGGCACCCCCAAAUAUCACUAAAGUUCCCCCAAAUCUUCCACCCCCUGAAUAGCAUAGGUAUGGUGUGUCCCCAAGUUUGAAAUGUGAACAAGUAUCUGUUCAUUCCACAUAGGGUAUCUAUGGUGGAAAUAAUUCCACCCAAGCCUAUUUUGGUGAUCCAUUAGUGUUACUUAUAGAAGCACGGGAGGCACAGAGAUAUCACUAAAAAGCCCAUCCCGGGAUGGAGAGCAAGUGGAGCUCUGUGCACAGCUAGCGAUCAGAAGAGCCUGCAUGCUCCAGCUUUUACAAGCUCGAGAAGGAGCCUUGUGAAUCUUGUAACUUUCAUGAGCUUUCCGAGCCUUCUAAGUUUUAUUAGCUUCCUGAGUUUUAGUUUAAAAAAAAAGAAGAAAAAGAAAAAGUCUUAGUAAACCUCUCUGAGAGAAUGUUUCAAUUCAGAGGAAACAACCGCACAAGAAGAAGGAACAAUUGCCAUUUGAGGAAUGGCCUGGAUCACCUGACCAAAUGUUCUUUAAACUGAAGCUCGAAGCCUAUAAACUGGCCUCUGAUAAUCUUUGACCCUGGAUUGCCACAUUCUGUCUCCCUUCCUCGGAAAUGCAGGCUAGACUGCCUUGCUUUUCACAAAUAGAACACAGUAAGACAGACAUGCUGUCUUUCCCUCCUGGGAUUGGAUAAGGAAAAGGCUCCAGGCUCUGGGCACACAUCAUCUCUCUUGCUCUUUUGCCUUUUGCCCCCCACAAAGGAAGUCAGGUAUUGUGUGGGGAAACUUGGUGAAGGAUUGAGGCCUGCAGCCAUGGAACUGAGCUAGGUAGCACAUCCCCUUCCUUGGCUGAGACUUCCAGUCAGGCUUCGAUCCUUUUGAUGUCUUGAAUACAUUCAAGACACCUGAAUCAGAGACAUAAACUAAGCCACACUGAUUCUCUCAACUGUGGAAAUGCUAAGAAAAUGAUUGUGAUUUUUAAGCUUCUGAAUCUUGGGAUUUUGCUAAUCGGCAUCAUAUAUACAAGAAAUUCUUAACUGCCAAGGAGUGGAUCUAAAAUAAAUCCCUGAUGAACUCAGUAUAGUCUUAUUCCAAAGAACACACAACAUCUCAUGGACAUAUAGCUGUUGUUUGGCUAUAGCUUUAAAUCUCAGUUUUAAUCUCAUGUUUCCUUUUUAGCCUUCUCGGUCUUUUUUUUUCUUCAAUGUGUUAGUUUAUUCUUGGAGUAAACACUUCUUUUUUUUAAAGAUUUAUUUAUUUUUUAUUAUUAUAUGUAAGUACACUGUAGCUGUCUUCAGACACACCAGAAGAGGGCAUCAGAUCUCAUUACAGAUGGUUGUGAGCCACCAUGUGGUUGCUGGGAAUUGAACUCAGGACCUUUGGAAGAGCAGUCAGUGUUCUUGCCCGCUGAGCCAUCUCUCCAGCCUCGCCUUCUUUAUCUUAAUUUGGGUUUCUAUUGCUAUGAAGAGACACCAUGAUUAGAGCAACUCUUAUAAAGGACAACACUUAACUAGAGCUUGCUUUCAGUUCAGUCCAUUAUUGUCAUGGCAGGAAACAUGGCAACAUGCAGGCAGACAUGUUUGUAGAGACAGCAGAGAGCUCUACACCCGGAUCAGCAGGCAGUGGGUAGUGAACGGCACACUAGACCCGGCUUGAGCAUUUGAGACCCCUUAGUGAUGCACUUCCUCCAACAAAGCCACACCCACUCCAACAAGGCCACACCUCCUAGUAGUGCCACUCCCUGUGAGUCUAUUGGGGCCAUUUCCAAUCAAACCACCACAGUGGGAAAGAAGAUAUUCUUCUGAGUGUGGUUUCAUGUUGUAGCAUGUUACAAAGUGAAUAUUCAGUAAGUCUUUUCCUUAAGCUGUUUACCAAGAGACCAAAAUCUGUAAUAUUAGAAUUUUGGAAUGAGGAAGAAUCAUGCCUGAGGUAGAAUGUAUAUAAGAUUGUGUCUAAAAUCUCUUUUAGGUUUUUCAUCCAUACAGAUUUACGUAGCACAAUGUAACAAGUGGACAUAUGAGAACCAUGAACCAGCCUUUUCCGGCCUCUUCUCCAGGUUUUGGUUUGCUGUCUACUGCCCAGGUGCCGGCUGUCAAACCUUGGACUCUUUCUUGGUCUUGCAGAAGCACUCGGUGUGGUUUUAUGGCAGCUGAGGAAAAGCUGUGAGUUCUGUGGCAUUUUGGAGUGCAGAGCUUGCUGGAAGGAGAUUUGUGACAGGGUAGGAGACAGGGUAUGUAGGGCAACCUGUCUUCAACAGGAAUAGACUGCCCAGCUUGACCUACAGCAUAGGAUGGCUCAGGGCAAGGGCCUUGACAUUUAGAUCUUGUUCUCUUCAGUUUGGUGCCAUCAUCUCUACCAGGUGUCUUGGUGGUCUUCAGGAAAAAAAACCAAAAACCAAAAACAAACAAACAAACAAACAAAUAAACAAAACCCUGACACAUCAUCAAGGCUACUGCCCUGCCUCACUGGAUGGUCUGCCUCAUUCACCUCAUUUCACUCUUCCCAUCUGGCCCUGGGACAGGACAUUAUCAGCCACAGAACCCCUGAAGUGAGCCCAGCUUAUUCUCCCCAGCACUGGGUUCACCACCUGCAGACUCUCUUCCCUGAUGCUGGCUUGCCCCAGGAACCACCAGCAUGCAUUUCAGCCUGCAAGUAUCACAUUGCCAGGAAGCUUUCUUUACUCCAGGCUUGACAGAUGCUCUGCAGUGUGUCUUCUGUCUGUCCUACCCUUGAUGCUGCUUCUCCUGUCCCCAGCUCCAAGAUAGGAGCGCUUCAAGGGCAAAGUUGUCUUUUUCAUCUUUAUAGCUUUUGUAACAAUCCUACAUUUUUCUUGUUCAUUUUGCAAGGUACAAUGAUAUAUAUAUA
This is a long non-coding RNA of Mus musculus (house mouse), 8956 nucleotides long. RefSeq annotates it as predicted gene 16010. The transcript is spliced from 3 exons. Lineage: Eukaryota; Metazoa; Chordata; Mammalia; Rodentia; Muridae. The record is from RefSeq and is a predicted model, not a curated record.